RNAcentral lists this ribosomal RNA (363 nucleotides) under Triticum aestivum (bread wheat). RNAcentral describes it as "partial small subunit ribosomal RNA". The record is from RNAcentral. Lineage: Eukaryota; Viridiplantae; Streptophyta; Magnoliopsida; Poales; Poaceae.
AUGGAUCAAAAUAUGGUGUAUAUUUUAGAAAUUAAAGAGAGGGUAUGCUUAAAACAGGGCCAAAUUAUCACGGUGAAAGUGUAUAAGUGUUCUAUAUCUAGAAGUUCAAUGCUUGCUGGUUUAUGUCAGCGGGCGUCACUCAUUUCGCGGGAUGAGGCUCCAAUGAACAUAUAUGGUCUAAGAUUAAGCUGGCUCUGUGUAAGAAUUGCAUCACCAGCACACAUCUCUCACUUUAUCACCAUGGUGAACACGAGUGAAUUACUAUUACAAUGUAUGAGCGUCGGUAAGUCCAUGUAUAGCUGCCGCUUCACCACUCAUCAUGUGUUGGCCAAUGAUCAGAGGUACAGCAAAACCAGCAAAUAA